UUCGCUUCUCGGCCUUUUGACCUACCUCAAGUGUAGUAUCUGUUCUUAUCAGUUUAAUAUCUGAUAUGUCCCCCAUCAGUGGGGCGGAGCAGUGGCUCUGU
RNAcentral lists this small nuclear RNA (101 nucleotides) under Lepisosteus oculatus (spotted gar). RNAcentral describes it as "U2 spliceosomal RNA". It matches the Rfam family "U2 spliceosomal RNA". From Rfam's summary of the family: U2 is a small nuclear RNA (snRNA) component of the spliceosome (involved in pre-mRNA splicing). The record is from Rfam by way of RNAcentral. Lineage: Eukaryota; Metazoa; Chordata; Actinopteri; Semionotiformes; Lepisosteidae.